AAAAACCCAGGUGGUGUGAGAUGGAUCCGCGUCUGAUUAGCCAGUUGGCGGGGUAACGGCCCACCAAAGCGACGAUCAGUAGCCGACCUGAGAGGGUGACCGGCCACAUUGGGACUGAGACACGGCCCAAACUCCUACGGGAGGCAGCAGUGGGGAAUAUUGCACAAUGGGCGCAAGCCUGAUGCAGCGACGCCGCGUGAGUGAAGAAGUAUCUCGGUAUGUAAAGCUCUAUCAGCAGGGAAGAAAAUGACGGUACCUGACUAAGAAGCCCCGGCUAACUACGUGCCAGCAGCCGCGGUAAUACGUAGGGGGCAAGCGUUAUCCGGAUUUACUGGGUGUAAAGGGAGCGUAGACGGCGACGCAAGUCUGGAGUGAAAGCCCGGGGCCCAACCCCGGGACUGCUUUGGAAACUGUGCUGCUGGAGUGCAGGAGAGGUAAGUGGAAUUCCUAGUGUAGCGGUGAAAUGCGUAGAUAUUAGGAGGAACACCAGUGGCGAAGGCGGCUUACUGGACUGUAACUGACGUCGAGGCUCGAAAGCGUGGGGAGCAAACAGGAUUAGAUACCCUGGUAGUCCACGCCGUAAACGAAGAAUGCUAGGUGUCGGGGGGCAAAGCCCUUCG
This 620-nucleotide ribosomal RNA is filed under the name uncultured bacterium. Its description in RNAcentral is "bacterial SSU rRNA". It matches the Rfam family "Bacterial small subunit ribosomal RNA", at positions 202 to 842 of the family's 1533-position model. The record is from RNAcentral.